UACGGGGGGAGCAAGCGUUGUUCGGAUUUACUGGGCGUAAAGGGCGCGUAGGCGGUCAGCACAAGUCAGUUGUGAAAUCUCCGGGCUUAACCCGGAAAGGUCAACUGAUACUGUGCGACUAGAGUGCGGAAGGGGCAACUGGAAUUCUUGGUGUAGCGGUGAAAUGCGUAGAUAUCAAGAGGAACACCUGCGGCGAAGGCGGGUUGCUGGGCCGACACUGACGCUGAGGCGCGAAAGCCAGGGGAGCGAACGGG
Molecule: ribosomal RNA, 254 nt
Filed under: uncultured bacterium
Lineage: Bacteria
Description: partial 16S ribosomal RNA
Rfam family: Bacterial small subunit ribosomal RNA
Source: RNAcentral